AGGAUUGUAGUUAAUGAUAAUAUUUGGUUUGCAUCCAAAAGGUGUUGAUUUUCAACCUGUCUUA
Molecule: transfer RNA, 64 nt
Filed under: unidentified
Description: Epeorus sp. 05 ZXM-2022a tRNA-Ala
Rfam family: tRNA
About the family: Transfer RNA (tRNA) molecules are approximately 80 nucleotides in length. Their secondary structure includes four short double-helical elements and three loops (D, anti-codon, and T loops).
Source: RNAcentral